GACGAACGCUGGCGGCGUGCUUAACACAUGCAAGUCGAACGGACAGGCCCUGCUUUUGUGGGGUGCUCGAGUGGCGAACGGGUGAGUAAAACGCGAGUAAACUGCACUUGACUUUGGGAUAACUUCAGGAAACUGGGGCUAAUACCGGAUAGGAGCUCCUGCUGCAUGGUGGGGGUUGGAAAGUUUCGGCGGUUGGGGAUGGACUCGCGGCUUAUCAGCUUGUUGGUGGGGUAGUGGCUUACAAAGGCUUUGACGGGUAGCCGGCCUGAGAGGGUGAACGGGCACAAGGGGACUGAGAUACGGACCAGUCGGCAACGGUAGGCAGCAGGGGGGAAUAUUGCACAAUGGGCGGAAGCCUGAUGCGGCAACGCCGCGUUCGUGAUGACGGCCUUCUGGGUGUAAACCGCUUUGGCCUGUGACGAAGCGGGAGUGACGGUAAUGGGUAAGGAAGCACCGGCUAACUACGUG
RNAcentral lists this ribosomal RNA (468 nucleotides) under uncultured bacterium. RNAcentral's name for it is "partial 16S ribosomal RNA". It matches the Rfam family "Bacterial small subunit ribosomal RNA", at positions 28 to 507 of the family's 1533-position model. The record is from RNAcentral.